GGUCGAUGUGCUCUUCAAUGUAGCUGGUGCUCUCGCGGACGCGGAAGCCCUCCAGCAGCGCUGUGGGUGACCGGGGGACAGCCCAUCACGGGGAAGCAGC
Long non-coding RNA from Phyllostomus discolor (pale spear-nosed bat), 100 nucleotides. RefSeq lists it as uncharacterized. The record is from RefSeq and is a predicted model, not a curated record. The transcript is spliced from 3 exons. Lineage: Eukaryota; Metazoa; Chordata; Mammalia; Chiroptera; Phyllostomidae.